CGCAUCUGUGCAUGCAGCAUAUCAAUAAGCGGAGGAAAAGAAACUAACAAGGAUUCCCCUAGUAACGGCGAGUGAAGCGGGAAGAGCUCAAAUUUGAAAUCUUAAAGGGUUUCCCUUUACGAAUUGUAGUUUAAAGAAGUGUUUUCUGUUGAGGUUUUGGUAAAAGUUCUUUGGAAUAGGACAUCAUAGAGGGUGAGAAUCCCGUAUUUGACCUUUACUUUCAACUUUGUGAUACACUUUCAAAGAGUCGGAUUGGUUUUGGGGAAUGCAGUCCAAAAUGGGUGGUAAAUUUCAUCUAAAGCUAAAUAUUGGCGAGAGACCGAUAGCGAACAAGUACCGUGAGGGAAAGAUGAAAAGAACUUUGAAAAGAGAGUUAAACAGUACGUGAAAUUGUCAAAAGGGAAGCGUUUGACACCAGUGUUGUUUUUCUGAAAAUCAAUUAAAGAACUGUUUAUGCUAAGCUGUUUAGACUUUAUCAGCUAUCUGUUUAGUUUUGAGCUUUUCUUUAAUGCACUUUUCAGUUAACAAGUCAACAUCAAUUUCUUUUGCUGUAAAAAAGCUUGAGGAAGGUGGCUUGAGAUUCGUCUUAAGUGUUUAUAGCCUCUUGCCUAUGCAGUCGGAGAGAUUGAGGUCUGCAGCGUAGAUCCUUCGGGGCUAAAUGCAUUUGUGCUAAGUUAUAGCAUUUUAUAGACAACUUGUUGACUAUGAUUUGUCUUGUAGCUUACUCGCUUAUGUUAUUUUACCUACGCUUAGGAUGUUGAAUCUGUGCGAGACUAC
Molecule: ribosomal RNA, 777 nt
Filed under: uncultured Neocallimastigales
Lineage: Eukaryota; Fungi; Neocallimastigomycota; Neocallimastigomycetes; Neocallimastigales
Description: partial large subunit ribosomal RNA
Rfam family: Eukaryotic large subunit ribosomal RNA
Source: RNAcentral